AGAGUUUGAUCAUGGCUCAGGAUGAACGCUGGCGGCGUGCUUAACACAUGCAAGUCGAAUGAUGAUCCGGUGCUUGCGCCGGGGAUUAGUGGCGAACGGGUGAGUAACACGUGAGUAACCUGCCCUUGACUCUGGGAUAAGCCUGGGAAACUGGGUCUAAUACCGGAUAUGACUCCUCAUCGCAUGGUGGGGGGUGGAAAGCUUUUUGUGGUUUUGGAUGGACUCGCGGCCUAUCAGCUUGUUGGUGGGGUAAUGGCCUACCAAGGCGACGACGGGUAGCCGGCCUGAGAGGGUGACCGGCCACACUGGGACUGAGACACGGCCCAGACUCCUACGGGAGGCAGCAGUGGGGAAUAUUGCACAAUGGGCGAAAGCCUGAUGCAGCGACGCCGCGUGAGGGAUGACGGCCUUCGGGUUGUAAACCUCUUUCAGUAGGGAAGAAGCCCUCUUUGGGGGUGACGGUACUUGCAGAAGAAGCGCCGGCUAACUACGUGCCAGCAGCCGCGGUAAUACGUAGGGCGCAAGCGUUAUCCGGAAUUAUUGGGCGUAAAGAGCUCGUAGGCGGUUUGUCGCGUCUGCUGUGAAAGACCGGGGCUCAACUCCGGUUCUGCAGUGGGUACGGGCAGACUAGAGUGCAGUAGGGGAGACUGGAAUUCCUGGUGUAGCGGUGAAAUGCGCAGAUAUCAGGAGGAACACCGAUGGC
Molecule: ribosomal RNA, 703 nt
Filed under: uncultured bacterium
Lineage: Bacteria
Description: bacterial SSU rRNA
Rfam family: Bacterial small subunit ribosomal RNA
Source: RNAcentral